AUUUGCUAUCCAGCAUGUCACUCACAGCAACUCCUCUUCCUUCUAUUUGAAGAAGCUGUCCUGACAGUCAACUCUUUGUGGAGUGGAGCAAGACUGUGAGGGACAAAAUGGGUCAAUCUCUUCUCCAGUGGUGUCUCUGAUUCAUUAAUGGCUGUGCUAUA
Lemur catta (Ring-tailed lemur) is the source of this 161-nucleotide long non-coding RNA. RefSeq lists it as uncharacterized. The record is from RefSeq and is a predicted model, not a curated record. NCBI's taxonomy places the organism in Eukaryota, Metazoa, Chordata, Mammalia, Primates, Lemuridae. The transcript is spliced from 4 exons.